UCUAAUAUGGCAGAAAAGUGCGGUGGAUUUAAGCUCCAUAUAUAAAGUUUCAACUUUUAUUAGAA
This 65-nucleotide transfer RNA is filed under the name Parcoblatta uhleriana. RNAcentral describes it as "tRNA-Leu". It matches the Rfam family "tRNA". From Rfam's summary of the family: Transfer RNA (tRNA) molecules are approximately 80 nucleotides in length. Their secondary structure includes four short double-helical elements and three loops (D, anti-codon, and T loops). Further hydrogen bonds mediate the characteristic L-shaped molecular structure. tRNAs have two regions of fundamental functional importance: the anti-codon, which is responsible for specific mRNA codon recognition, and the 3' end, to which the tRNAs corresponding amino acid is attached (by aminoacyl-tRNA synthetases). tRNAs cope with the degeneracy of the genetic code in two manners: having more than one tRNA (with a specific anti-codon) for a particular amino acid; and 'wobble' base-pairing, i.e. permitting non-standard base-pairing at the 3rd anti-codon position. The record is from RNAcentral. Lineage: Eukaryota; Metazoa; Arthropoda; Insecta; Blattodea; Blattellidae.